CCCUUAGAUGUUCUGGGCCGCACGCGCGCUACACUGACUGGUGCAACAAGUGUCGCUCCUUGGCCGAUAGGCCUGGGCAAUCUUUGAACGCCAGUCGUGAUGGGGAUAGAUUCUUGCAAUUUUUGAUCUUCAACGAGGAAUUCCUAGUAAACGCGAGUCAUCAACUCGCAUUGAUUACGUCCCUGCCCUUUGUACACACCGCCCGUCACACCUACCGAUUGAAUGGUCCGGUGAACCCUCCGGAUCGGCUCGCGCCAACGCAAGUUGAGCAAAGGCCGAGAAGUUGGGUAAACCUUACCAUUUAGAGGAAGGUGAAGUCGUANCA
RNAcentral lists this ribosomal RNA (325 nucleotides) under uncultured eukaryote. Its description in RNAcentral is "partial 18S ribosomal RNA". It matches the Rfam family "Eukaryotic small subunit ribosomal RNA", at positions 1470 to 1796 of the family's 1831-position model. The record is from RNAcentral.